UCAGACAUUUCUUAAUAGUUAAGGAUUUCAUUUACACUGAACUUUUUGUCGUGCAAUUCGAUGUUGUCUGAA
This 72-nucleotide transfer RNA is filed under the name Glyptotermes satsumensis. RNAcentral's name for it is "tRNA-Val". Lineage: Eukaryota; Metazoa; Arthropoda; Insecta; Blattodea; Kalotermitidae. The record is from RNAcentral.